GCGAGCGGACGAGUCAAACCCUUGCUUUUGAAUCGUUAGCGGCGGACGGGUGAGUAACACGUGGGCGACCUGCCCUGUAGACGGGGAUAACACCGAGAAAUCGGUGCUAAUACCGGAUAACACGAAAGACCGCAUGGGUUUUCGUUGAAAGGCGGCGCAAGCUGUCGCUACAGGAUGGGCCCGCGGCGCAUUAGCUAGUUGGUGAGGUAACGGCUCACCAAGGCGACGAUGCGGAGCCGACCUGAGAGGGUGAUCGGCCACACUGGGACUGAGACACGGCCCACACUCCUACGGGAGGCAGCAGUAGGGAAUCUUCCGCAAUGGACGAGAGUCUGACGGAGCAACGCCGCGUGAGCGAAGAAGGCCUUCGGGUCGUAAAGCUCUGUUGUUAGGGAAAAACAAGUACCGCACUCACUGGUGGUACCUUGACGGUACCUAACAAGAAAGCCACGGUUAACUACGUGCCAGCAGCCGCGAUAAUACAUAGGUGGUAAGCGUUGUCCGGAAUUAUUGGGCGGAAAGCGCGCGCGUGCGGUUCCUUAAGUCUGAUGUGAAAGCCCACGGCUCAACCGUGGAGGGUCAUUGGAAACUGGUAGAGUUGAGUGCACAAGACGAGAGCGGAAAUCCACGUGUAGCGUUGAAAUGCGUAGAGAUGUGGAG
Molecule: ribosomal RNA, 660 nt
Filed under: uncultured organism
Description: SSU rRNA
Rfam family: Bacterial small subunit ribosomal RNA
Source: RNAcentral